AAAUGUUCGAGGAUUUUUAAAGGAAGAAAUGCCAGUAAUGACCAACCAUGUAAAACCUCCAUCCUUUAAGACACCCUUAGUUGCACUGGUGGGAUAUUGGGCAGUUUGGCGCUCACAGGCCUGAAGUCCCUGAACGGAGCUGCUUUGCCGGCGCCUCCAGCGACCCAGGCUGUGUCUGGUGUAGACGGAACACAGUCCGCCUCUCAGGACCAGCUACCGGGCUUCCCGAAGCCUAAUACGCGCUUUUAUUUUAUUUUUUUUUUCCAGUUUCACUUUCCUAGAAUCAAAAUGUUUUUAUACUAAUGUGCUUGUGUUUAAAAUAUGUUCUUUUCCACCAGCUUAGAGGCUUUUGCCUGUUUGCUCAAUUUGUUUUUAUUGCCCCCUCUGCUUUCAGAGAGAGCUGGCCUGGCACCGUGAGUCCUCAGGAUCCUGGCCUCCUGCUGCCUUUCUCUUCUUUCGCGAAAAACAAAGGAGGUUGUUCUCAAGAUCAUGAUGAAUCUGGCAGUCUGUGGUGUCUGCACACGAGCCUGCACUUUCCAGGUCGUCUUCAAGUAAAUAUUUGUGGAGCCAAGAACUAGAUGUUAACUGCCACCAUAAAGCUUGCCUCAAGGAGAAGACACUCCGUAGAAAUCUAAAUUAGCUCAAAGUAAAGAGUCAGGUUUUCCACACUGCAAUUAUUUUUCUGUUUUUCAAUAGCAACUAACCUGCUAGUCAGGACUAACAAACCUUGAAUUCAGAAAUGGGCAGCCAGAUUCUUGUGUAACUAAAUGCCCAGCAAUAGAGGACUCCCUAUAGUUUUGAGGAUUUGUCCUAUUAUUUUGUAAACACAGUAAACAAUUUCCUGAAUACUAUAAUUCAAAUUAAAAAGGAAGAAGAAAGAAAGAAAGAAAGAAAGAAAGAAGAAAGAAAGAAAGAAAGAAAGAAAGAAAGAAAGAAAGAAAGAAAGAAAAAAAGAAAGAAAGAAAGAGGAAGAGGGAGGAAGAAAGGAAAACACGGUCAUCUGACAAAGACAACUAUGUAAGUAUCAUGUGUCCCUUCUAGUAUAAGGACAACUGACACAGAUGGGGCACCUGGUGGCUCAGCGGUUUGGCACCUGCCUUGGGCCCAGGGCGUGACCCUGGGGUCCUGGGAUCGAGUUCUGCGUCGGGCUCCCUGCAUGGAGCCUGCUUCUCCCUCUGCCUGUGUCUCUGCCUCUCUCUCUGGGUCUCUCAUGAAUAAAUAAAUAACAUCUUAGAAAAGAAAAGAAGAGAAGAGAAAAAAGAAAAGAAAAGAAAAGAAAAGAAAAGAAAAGAAAAGAAAAGAAAAGAAAAGAAAAGAAAGAAAAGAAAAACUGAUACAGAUGCAGAUCAUUGGCAGACAUGUCUGCUCUGCUCAGGCAAGCUCUAUCAUUCUUGGGUUAUUGUUAACCCUGAAAGUCCAAAUUCAGAUUCGACCAAGUAAAGAGAAGCCAUGAGCAGUUAUCUAGCAGUGGGAAAAGACAGACUUUGGCAUUGCAAAAUCUGGAAUGAAGUCCCUGCUUGGUCCCUUAUUAGCUGAGAGAAUUUGGGUUAGUCGCUUAAUCCCUCUAAGCCUUAUUUCCCACAUCUGUCAAUUAAGAAUGAUACAUGUUCUUUCAGAAGGUGUUUGGAGAUUGAAAUGACAUAAUGAAAAUGCAUAUACUUUAUAACUCUAAAAUGCCCUACAAAUGUUAUUUUAAAACAUUUUAAAAAUA
Molecule: long non-coding RNA, 1711 nt
Filed under: Canis lupus familiaris (dog)
Lineage: Eukaryota; Metazoa; Chordata; Mammalia; Carnivora; Canidae
Description: lncRNA (ENSCAFG00040012039.1)
Source: RNAcentral